GUGCCAGCAGCCGCGGUAAUACGGGAGGGGCAAGCGUUAUUCGGAAUAAUUGGGCGUAAAGGGUUCGUAGACGGCAAUUUAAGUUAAAUAUAAAAUUUUAAAGCGUAACUUUAAACUAAUAUUUAAUACUGUUUUGCUAGAGUUGUAUAUAAAAAAGUAGAAUUUUAUGAGUAGGGAUAAAAUCUGUAAAUACAUAAAGGAAUAUCAAUUAGCGAAGGCAACUUUUUAUAAACAACUGACGUUGAGGAACGAAAGUGUAGGGAGCAAACAGGAUUAGAUACCCUGGUAGUCUACACUGUAAACGCUGAGUGCUAAAAUUUAAUCAAUUUAGAUUUUAUAAGCUAACGCAAUAAGCACUCCGCCUGAGGAGUAUGAUCGCAAGAUUGGAACUCAAAGGAAUUGACGGGAGCCUAUUACAAGUGGUGGAGCAUGUGGUUUAAUGCGAUAACACGCGCGAAACCUUACCAGCUCUUGACAUAGAAAAAAAUAAGAAAAAAUUCAAAAAUUUAUUUUUUAUUUUUUUAAUACAGGUGUUGCACGACUGUCGUCAGUUCGUGUCGUGAGAUGUUUGGUUUAUUCCUUUACCGAGCGCAACUCUUAUUUUUAAAUUUAUUAAAAAAAUAAUAUUUUAAUACGAUUAAAAAUACUGCCUACUACAAGUAGGAGGAGGGUAAGAAUCACGUCAAGUCAAUGUGGCCCUAAUGAGCUGGACUACACAUGUGCUACAAUGAAAAUUACAAAAAGUAACUUUUUAAUUGUUAGUUAAUCUUUAAAAAUUUUCUUAGUUCGGAUUGUAAAUUGUAACUCAUUUACA
This 814-nucleotide ribosomal RNA is filed under the name uncultured bacterium. Its description in RNAcentral is "partial 16S ribosomal RNA". It matches the Rfam family "Bacterial small subunit ribosomal RNA", at positions 505 to 1320 of the family's 1533-position model. The record is from RNAcentral.